RNAcentral lists this transfer RNA (73 nucleotides) under Ailuropoda melanoleuca (giant panda). It matches the Rfam family "tRNA". Rfam says of the family: Transfer RNA (tRNA) molecules are approximately 80 nucleotides in length. Their secondary structure includes four short double-helical elements and three loops (D, anti-codon, and T loops). The record is from Rfam by way of RNAcentral. Lineage: Eukaryota; Metazoa; Chordata; Mammalia; Carnivora; Ursidae.
ACCUGGCUGGUUUAGUUGGUAUAGCAUGCAACUCUUAAUCUCACAGUCAUGGGUUUGAGCCCCAUGUUGGGCA